Malus domestica (apple) is the source of this 3956-nucleotide non-coding RNA. NCBI's taxonomy places the organism in Eukaryota, Viridiplantae, Streptophyta, Magnoliopsida, Rosales, Rosaceae. The record is from RefSeq and is a predicted model, not a curated record.
UUAAUUGGUGUGCCAAAUGGCCCACCUUCUAUUUUUGUGUCCCCCAUUCCCGUCACUCUUCCAUCUCUCUCAGCCCUCUUCUUUCUCUGUCUCCCUCUCUCUCUCAACCUCACUCUUCCAUCCUCAUCAUUAAACCCACACACACCCACCACCACAACUACCUAGCUACGACACCACCAUCACCUCUGGAACUUUCUUUUCUCUCUCCCCCGUCUCGGCGAAGCUCCGGGACACCCAGAGAACACCCAAGUCUCCCCCUACGCCUCCGGCGACUUUCGAGAGAAUUUCCGGCCAAACCACGAUGAGUUGGCCUGCGUGCAAGUUUCCGGCGAGUCCGACAGAUUUCGAGGCAUUUUCCGGCCAAACCACGGCAAUUUAUACGUCUUGUGAGGGGCAAUUAUUGGUGACGUUUUCUUGUUCGUUAGUUUGCGUGGCUCUUCGGCGGCUAAGUACUGUGAGUGGACCCCUUCUAAAAUGCAUGUUUUAAUAGUAGAAAUGCAUACAUGAAAAGCAUGAUUUGAUGAUUACGUUUUAUGAAACGUUUUGUGAGAUAGCAUGCUUACUGAGGCUAGUUUGAAUUAUUACUAUUUUUCCUAUAACCCAUGUUUUUAUAGAAUAUCUGAUGGAUGACGAUAUGAUAUUUCGAUUUUUUAUUAAGAUAAGAGACGGGUGGGUCCAAUUUUUUUUUUAAAUUUUUUAUUUUUUUAACAUCCACAUGGGCCCCAUAUUGAUGUGUGGCGCUCAGUCAUUGUCCACAUGGGCGCCAUGUCAUCAGUUAAUGAGAUUCUGAUGGGAAACUUAACAGAUGUAUGAAAGUGUCCCAUAAUUAUGACUUUAGGUACCAGACUAGGUCAAAAAAAAAAAAAACUUCGGGAUAGUAAACUGAGGUUAACCUUUUUUUUUUUUUUUUUGUUAUUUUCCUCCUUAUGUGGGAUACAUAAUUUUUUUUUUAAAUGUUGUUCAUCACAUAAAAGUCUUAAACUCCUCACAAAUUUUUAGGUGGCAAAUUUUACCGCCCAAUGAAUUAUAUUGGAUGACGAAAAUUUUGCUUUCUUCACAAAACAUAAGAUAAGGCCACCUGGGUUCCUGUGAGGAAAGGCAAAUCAUCACCUUUCCUUUACUGAAGGCAAAGAAAAAAAGAAAAAAAAACAUAAAAGUAAAUAAAAUCCAAAAGCCCCAACUCGUUAGAAUUCAUAUGUUCUGCUCUCACUCCACUUCCUCUCUUAGCCGACGAUCACCUUUCUCAAAUUUGCCAACUGACUGCUGGUGGCGGCGAGUACCAUCGCUCUUUCGUCUUCCCCAUACCUCCGCUGCUUGCUAUCACACUCUACUCUCUUUUGACCUAAGACGACUUAGUAUCUCAGCUAUUCGUUCUCCCAAUUUCUAAUCCAAAGGUACUCAAAUCUCUCUCUCUCUUGAAAUUACUGCAUUUUUUUAUUUCUCUCUUAGAAUUUUUUCUUAAUCGUGAAAAUUUUGAAAAUUUUCUUAUUUUAUGUAUUGGGUUUUCGAGAUAUUGGAGAAACCUCGGCUAUGGAAAUCCCGCUCAUGUUAUUGAGGUGGAAGAUUUUUUCCAUUUCUAGUUUUUAAUUAAAUUUUAGGACGAUGUUGAUGUAUAUUUCUAAAUUAGGGUUUUCAAUAUUGGUGUGAAUACUUAAUGGCAUGCUUGAUCUUUUUUUCUUUUUAUUUUAUUUUAUUUUAUUUUUUUUAUUAAUUUGUACCUAGAUGGGUGUGAAUACUUAAUGGCCUGCUUGUUUGUUUAGAUGUUCUUGAAUUUCCUGUUAUUUGAAUUUAUGGAAUUCAAUUUACUGACAUUCAUAUUUGUUAUGUUAUAUGUCUAUCUUAACACAUAUUUGAAAAUUUGUUAUGGCAACUUAUUGAACUAUGUCAAAAUCUGAGGCCCAACACUACUACUGAAGAUAGACAAUGGAUUUGUUGUCGGAAUCACUCUAGUUCUAAUUAUUAGAGAAUGGGUCCAAUCAUUCAUUCACACUGUUUGUCGCCAUGUGGACCAGAACGAUUAGAUGCUAUGUCCUUGUAGAGUUUGUCAUAACAUAUUUUUUUUCACUUAAUUGAAGAUGUUCAUCUACAUUCGUUGAAUUUCAAUAUGGAUAUGAAUUAUGAUAGAUGGAUAAAUCGUUGAAUUUGCUACUAGAGUAUUUGAAUACUUGAGUAGUUUUUGUCUAAAUACUUUGUAUAUUCAUGCUUGAUUAUCAUUACAAUACUACACGCCUAUUAAUAGGAAAGAAGGAAGGAGAGAUCGGACAGAGUGAGGUCCAUGAGGAGCUGUGCCACCUGAGAUACAAUAAUGAAAAGAAACACUCCACUACACUUAGUUGGAGAAAAUAUAAUAACAACCAAUAUACAAACGUUAACUAGUUAUAAAGGGAAAGCACUUCUAAAUAAGAAAGUUUCAGCUUGAGAUUGUGCAAUGAGAGUUUUCGAUAUGCUUAUAAUGAUAAUUAUUUAAGAUGCUAGUCUAUUAUUAUUUUUCCUUUUCCAAUUUACUAGAUGACUUCUAUGCAACGAGGAAAAAGGGUGAAACGGGUCAGGGUUGCCCUACCUCUACCUCCACCACCACCACACCACCUCCUCCACCGCCACCACCAUCUCCUCCACCACAUGCUCCUUCACUUGAAGAGCCAACAAACAUGAACUUAGGUUUUUUACUACUGAGAUAGGGAAUAUUGUUCAGACUCAUUCACCAGUUUGCUACGAGAAAUGGAUGAAGGUCUCACCUCAAGAAAAGAGGACAUUGCGGGAUAAGUUGCUUGUAUUAUUUGUGGUGGACCUAUCCCAUCCAAAGAUUAUUGAAUACGUUGAUAAGAAAAUGGCGAAGUUGUACUAUGUGUUUAGGCACCGGUUGAAUAAGUAUUACUUGUCAAGUGGAACACCUGCAAGAGGACGAGCUAAGCUGCCGAACGAUCAGAUAUGGAAUGGGAGACCAAAGAGUCAUUGGGACUAGUUAUGCAAUAAUGUUUACUCUACCACCCACUUUUUGGAGCUUUCAAAGAAAAAUUCUGAUAAUAGGAAGAAACAAAAGUAUCAUCACAAGGGAGGAGUAAGGCCAUUCAUCAAACAUGCUAGGAAGGCUCACAUGAAAGAAGAUCCAUUAUCUGUGAUUGACAAUUGGGGAGCUCUCCACAAAGAUAAGAACGGCAAGUGGAUCAAUGAUGUUGCUCAAGACAAAUAUGUAAGUUAUUCAUGAGCCACUAAGGGAGAAGCUGACCGAAGAAGCACCUGAGGGUACUCCAUUAGAUUUCGUACAUGUGUGGAUGAUGAGUUUGGAAUCAUGGUUGAAAACCUUGGGAAGAAGGGAAAAUCUGUUAAUGGUGUAGGUGUUUUUCCUCGAAUGGAUACCUAUGGUUGUGGUUCUUCUAUGGCUUCAAAUUCUGAGUUAGCUGAUACAAGAUCUCAGAUCAAGCUUCUAUCAGAUGGUUUCCUCAUAUUGCAAAAGGAGAAUGAACAAUUAAAAGCUUGAUUGGAUUUACAGAAUGUUGAUGAAAAUAUGUUCAUAAAAAUCAAGGCUUUUUUUGCUACAAGUCAAGGGAAGACCAACAACAACUUUACGAAAUCAGAUGGUGAUAUUUCAGAGGGUGAAAAUACUUAUCCUGAGCUAGAAGAACAUGAUUUGGAAGAGGACUGAUUUCGAUAUUAUGUCUUUUGCUGUUAGUUUCAAGUUUCCACAUGGUAUACCUCUUUUGUUAGCACCUAAAUGUGUCUUAGACUUCUUUUUUGUUAGUACCAAAGUUGUCUAUUAGUGUUAGUGCCCUUCAUUAUUCUAGCGUAGGCUUCUAUUUUGUUAGUACCUGGAGCUAUCUUUUGUUAGCACUAAGCUGUUUUAGACUUCUCUUUUGAGAUAGGUUACCAUGACUUUAAUUUUUGGAACGUACACCUGGUGAAUGUAUUCGACUUAUGUGCUUAAAUUGAUUAAUGAAAAUGUGAAGUAUUACCUAUAA